This 84-nucleotide transfer RNA is filed under the name Lutibacter maritimus. RNAcentral's name for it is "tRNA_Tyr_GTA". It matches the Rfam family "tRNA". Rfam says of the family: Transfer RNA (tRNA) molecules are approximately 80 nucleotides in length. Their secondary structure includes four short double-helical elements and three loops (D, anti-codon, and T loops). Further hydrogen bonds mediate the characteristic L-shaped molecular structure. tRNAs have two regions of fundamental functional importance: the anti-codon, which is responsible for specific mRNA codon recognition, and the 3' end, to which the tRNAs corresponding amino acid is attached (by aminoacyl-tRNA synthetases). tRNAs cope with the degeneracy of the genetic code in two manners: having more than one tRNA (with a specific anti-codon) for a particular amino acid; and 'wobble' base-pairing, i.e. permitting non-standard base-pairing at the 3rd anti-codon position. RNAcentral also lists the same sequence under 1 other name. The record is from RNAcentral. Lineage: Bacteria; Pseudomonadati; Bacteroidota; Flavobacteriia; Flavobacteriales; Flavobacteriaceae.
GGUGAGAUACUCAAGUGGCCAACGAGGGCAGACUGUAAAUCUGCUGCGCAAGCUUCGGAGGUUCGAAUCCUCCUCUCACCACAA